AGAAGGCUAUGUUAGCCGGGCGACGGUUGUCCCGGUUUAAGCAUGUAGGCUGGUUGUCCAGGCAAAUCCGGAUAAUCAAGGCUGAGGUGUGAUGACGAGGCACUACGGUGCUGAAGUAACAAAUGCCCUGCUUCCAGGAAAAGCCUCUAAGCAUCAGGUAACAUCAAAUCGUACCCCAAACCGACACAGGUGGUCAGGUAGAGAAUACCAAGGCGCUUGA
This 220-nucleotide ribosomal RNA is filed under the name Klebsiella pneumoniae. Its description in RNAcentral is "partial 23S ribosomal RNA". It matches the Rfam family "Bacterial large subunit ribosomal RNA", at positions 1476 to 1693 of the family's 2925-position model. Lineage: Bacteria; Pseudomonadati; Pseudomonadota; Gammaproteobacteria; Enterobacterales; Enterobacteriaceae. The record is from RNAcentral.